Molecule: non-coding RNA, 23 nt
Filed under: Rattus norvegicus (Norway rat)
Lineage: Eukaryota; Metazoa; Chordata; Mammalia; Rodentia; Muridae
Source: RNAcentral
GUGAAUGAAUGGAAUGCUUACUA